Long non-coding RNA from Amphiprion ocellaris (clown anemonefish), 2131 nucleotides. The record is from Ensembl. NCBI's taxonomy places the organism in Eukaryota, Metazoa, Chordata, Actinopteri, Pomacentridae.
UUUAAUCCUCAUGCUAGUCCUGUGUGACAUGUGGUUCCAUCAGAAAACUGAACCAAACCUGAGCAUUUAAAACUCAUAACAGUUUGCAUUAACCAGUUUGUCAAAAACACUAAAUUCUGAGCUCCUCGGUGCAACCAUGAAGCCCUCACUGACUCAGUUGUGACCAACAGACCAAAAACACCUGUGUAGAAUAGAUAAUCAAAGAAAUUCAACUUUUUUUCAUAUGAUUUACGGCAUUCUGUGUCAAACUGCACAGAAGACAUUUUUGAGCAUUCUUCAUGGUUCUGUUUCCACAGAGGUGCAGGACUUUAGAUUGCAGUGAAAAAUGAGCCCACAGUGAAGAAAAAUGUAACAGGAGUGAAGAAAUGUGGAGUUCAGAGGGUUAAAGCGACUCCCCGCUAUACAAAACCUCGUCGGUCUCCACAAAUAUCGACAUACAAAAGCACAGAAACACAACAGACUGAUCCUGGAUUACUUGACCCUCAGGUGCCUUCAUCCUUCUGUAUCUCAACAAGGUCUCAACCUGCUGCUUCUCCUCCACAAAAACCAGAACUGACGGUGUGUUCAGGUGCACCUCGACAACUCACAAAGCUGAAAAUAUCCCAGUCUGUGCCAAUCAGGUUAAAGGAACGUGUGCCCAUUUAAAGUCCAGCAGUUAAUGUCUACAGUACGCAGAUUUCUUGGAACUGGGUUUUAGUGAUUGUUGUUGGGAACAAGAGAAAUCUGAUUCAUUCAGGUGGAUUUCUUGGUCUUUCUUGGCUCGCAACUCCUAAAAAAGACUGAAACAUCACUUUCUUCCAGUUAAAGCAUGCUUCCAGAGAAAAGAAAUCUGACUACUGCUCUGCUGCAUGUUUACACAGAUUUAUGCUAGAAUUAGUGUUUUUAUUGAGGGCAUAUAAAAAUACUUUAGUGUGUUCUGCUGUGAUGAAGAAGACAAGAGUUUUUGAAGACACCAUCUAAUUAAAAAUGUGUAUUUUAGAGUUGUUUUCUCUCCAUGUUUACACUUCUGGUUCUUGCCUGUCAUUAUAAGACGCCACCAGCAACACGCAUAUAUUCUGGAAGACAGAAAGAACCAGAGAAAUGACACUAAAGGCGCUGAGCAGAGACCGUGAACGUAGCACAAGUGUUCAAAACAUUCUUCUCAUGAUCUUGUAAAUUUCAUACCAGUUAUCUCAGGAUAAAAGCUUUUUUUUUUUAAUAUAAUUUGCUCUAAAUUCUGAUUUUGUGGUGCUCAAAAGCAGUUAAUGUAAAAUAAAAAAAACAAGUACCACAAUUAUUUUUGUCUAGUUUUGAUGGAAAUCUAUUUAAAUUUUGAUAUUAACUGAUGGUCCCUUGAUAUUUUUAUAUAUUUAAUCCAAUGGCAGGUUUUGAAGGCGUUUUGUUUCUGCAAAAUAACCAGAAUUACGUCACAGAAUCAUUGGAUUUUGAAGUUUCCUACUGUUCUUGAACUGGUUCAAAAACGUUCAUCAUGCCUUCUUGUUGAUACUUUACUUUCUGAUUCUUUUGUUCAGACAUUUGUUCAGAUGCCUAAUGUCUGAACGAAAGAAUCAGAAACUAAUGUUCUUGAAGUGCUUGUGUAGUUUGAAAAUUACCCAAGUCUGAGCUUUGCUGUGAUAUUUCCUCAAAAUCACUUUAUUAAUGUCUCAUUCAAAAAAAAUUACCAAAAAUAAAGACUUUGUUCUAAAAAGAUUCUGUAAAAAACAAAAACUUCUGAGUUUAUUGGUGUAACCGGUAAGCCAUGAAUGACUCAGCUGAGACCAACAGUCAUGUGACAAAAAUUCAGGGAGUUUUCGUCUGAACUGCAGGCAGUCUUUACACAAAGCAGAGAGGAGACAAGUUUGAACGCUGUAAAAUGUAAGUAGUAAAAUGUUUGGAUUUAGAUAUUCUAGUUUGCAGUAUUUUCCAGUAUUGUUAACAUGUGGGCACUUGCAAAAAAAAAAAAAAGUUGAACAUGUUUCUGGGUUUUCUGAUUUUUUGUAAAAAUAAAUAUGCAACAAAAAUCAAUUUUUGUUUUUGUGUUUUUUUCCUGAUUUGUCAUUUUGACUGUUUCAUUCUGCACUGAAGUCAUUUCUUAGUUCUCUCUUCGUCUAUUUUGUUUCCAUAGAGGGUCAGGACUUUAUAUUGCAGUGAA